UCCCUGGUAGUUCAGAGGUUAGGACUCGGCACUUUAACAGCAAUGGCCUGGGUUCCACCCCUGGUCGGGGAA
This 72-nucleotide transfer RNA is filed under the name Capra hircus (goat). It matches the Rfam family "tRNA". From Rfam's summary of the family: Transfer RNA (tRNA) molecules are approximately 80 nucleotides in length. Their secondary structure includes four short double-helical elements and three loops (D, anti-codon, and T loops). The record is from Rfam by way of RNAcentral. RNAcentral also lists the same sequence under 1 other name. Lineage: Eukaryota; Metazoa; Chordata; Mammalia; Artiodactyla; Bovidae.